UACGAAGGGGGCUAGCGUUGCUCGGAAUCACUGGGCGUAAAGCGCACGUAGGCGGCUUUUUAAGUCAGGGGUGAAAUCCUGGAGCUCAACUCCAGAACUGCCUUUGAUACUGGGAAGCUCGAGUCCGGGAGAGGUGAGUGGAACUCCGAGUGUAGAGGUGAAAUUCGUAGAUAUUCGCAAGAACACCAGUGGCGAAGGCGGCUGACUGGUCCGGUUCUGACGCUGAGGCGCGAAAGCGUGGGGAGCAAACAGG
RNAcentral lists this ribosomal RNA (253 nucleotides) under uncultured bacterium. Its description in RNAcentral is "partial 16S ribosomal RNA". It matches the Rfam family "Bacterial small subunit ribosomal RNA", at positions 524 to 776 of the family's 1533-position model. The record is from RNAcentral.